This 465-nucleotide ribosomal RNA is filed under the name Vreelandella stevensii. RNAcentral describes it as "partial 16S ribosomal RNA". It matches the Rfam family "Bacterial small subunit ribosomal RNA", at positions 338 to 795 of the family's 1533-position model. Lineage: Bacteria; Pseudomonadati; Pseudomonadota; Gammaproteobacteria; Oceanospirillales; Halomonadaceae. The record is from RNAcentral.
CCUACGGGAGGCUGCAGGGGGGAAUAUUGGACAAUGGGCGAAAGCCUGAUCCAGCCAUGCCGCGUGUGUGAAGAAGGCCUUCGGGUGGUAAAGCACUUUCAGUGGGGAAGAAAGCCUUGGGGCUAAUACCCUCGAGGAAGGACAUCACCCACAGAAGAAGCACCGGCUAACUCCGUGCCAGCAGCCGCGGUAAUACGGAGGGUGCGAGCGUUAAUCGGAAUUACUGGGCGUAAAGCGCGCGUAGGCGGUCUGAUAAGCCGGUUGUGAAAGCCCCGGGCUCAACCUGGGAACGGCAUCCGGAACUGUCAGCCUAGAGUGCAGGAGAGGUAGGUAGAAUUCCCGGUGUAGCGGUGAAAUGCGUAGAGAUCGGGAGGAAUACCAGUGGCGAAGGCGGCCUUCUGGACUGACACUGACGCUGAGGUGCGAAAGCGUGGGUAGCAAACAGGAUUAGAUACCCCAGUAGUC